UAUAUACCGGCGCGCGCAAAAUUCCGCAUUCACGUGUACGUGUAUACAGUACGAGAAACAAGGGAACACGAGAAUUUCAGCAUGUCCGGCAGGGAAGGUGGAAAAAAGAAGCCCCUGAAGCAGCCCAAGAAGAAGGGCGGUGAAUUAGAUGAAGACGAUCUGGCUCAUAAGCAGAAAAUGAAAGAAGAACAGAAGAAAUUAAAAGAAGCUCAAGCUAUGGCAGGAAAGAAGGGCCCUAUGGGUGGUGGUGGUAUCAAGAAAUCAGGAGGAGGAGGAGGAAAGAAAAAAUGACGAUUUUUUUUUACUGAUUUGACUCCUGCUGAUUGAUGAAAGCAAGCACCAUAACAGCAGGAAUGGGAACCAUCGCCUCAACAAACUUUAGUCUCACUAUCAUUAUACUAUCAUUCUUUUAUUCUAUGGAGAGAAGGUGACAUAAACUGCAUCGCAUUGAACUUCACGCUCCUCGUUACAGCUGAAGCAACUUGUUUUUGAGAGAAAAAGUUAGGAAUGUAAUAUUUGAAUGCUAUUGACUGCCUUGGAGGGUAAUAUGACAUAGUCGGCUCAAAUAGUAACACUUUGCCCCUGUGAGUGUAUGCCCAUUGAUGACAAAUCAACAGUCAAUCUGAUUUCAUUGAAUUUAGACAUAAAAAUAUAAAUAGAGAGGAAAAUUCUCUGAUUACUUUUUCCAUGGCCACCCAAAGGAUAUAUUUUUUUUACCCAAAAGGAUAUUUGAAAGCUUAUAUAAAAAUGACAAAAAUAAAUCUUCCUUGUAAAUACGGGGGGAAAAUAGGUAGUGAACAAAUGUGUACAGCCACGAGAGGGGAUGAUUGUAAACUAUGGUUCUCGAAGUGAUGCAAAUGAAACUAUAUUCCUUCAGGAAAUGGUUGCACUCGUGUCACCGAGGGGGCCAUAGUUUCAUCAAAACCUGAAAAGUGUACAUUUUGUUUAUAUCCGUCAAUGGUAUCAUAUGCAAAAGAUUGGAAUAUAAGGAAUCCAAGUAUUUGCAAGAGAUUGAAAUGUCACAAAUAACAAAAUCUGAUUAACUUGACUGACCAUCUCCUGCACGCUCACCGGGUUGUCAAAAAAAAAAACUGCAAACAUCGCCAUGCUUUCAUAGGUCUUGAUGUUGCCAUCUUAUCCAGACACACCACCUGUUCAGAAAUACAUGUCCAACUGCAUAUCCAUAGCUUCGAAUGAAAGGUUAAAAUGCAUGUAGCCGUUGAUUUUCUGUCGACAUUUUCAGAAGUGCAUCACAGGAACAAGGGCCCUAUGUUAUCCGUGGCAAGCUCACAAUAUUGAAAAGGUUCAAUUUUGAUUGGUUAAGAGCAAGUUCUUCAUAGAAUCAAUUUUAGCAGUCUGGUUUCAAUGCGGAGGUGGUUGUACCACGUCAAUGAGGAAUUACGAUCAUGUUCAUAAUUUAAAUGAUCGUCUUCUUGUUUUCCUCUUCAUUUUUUUCUGACAUUGUGCAUGUACAUAAUCAUAUGUUAUCAAGAUGGUUGCAAUAGGAAUAGGUGCUGAAAUCACUAUUACUAGAGAUCAGGAUUUUGAAAGAAUUUCAGGGAAUAUUACGUUUGUAUGUCAAAUUUAUCCAGAUAGCCCCCAAAAUGGGUAUUGUGGCAUGCACCUGUAAUCCAAGCUACUGAGGGAGUUUCAAAUUAAACCAAGGUUGCGUAUUUUGGAUGGUAAUGUCGGAGAAAGGUCCCAGACCAAAUGAGCUUUGAUCAUGAAGUGUUUAUAAUAUUGGAUGCAUUAUUGAUUAUUUUGGUAUCAAAAUUUCAAGCCCCCCCCCCCCCAGCAUCCGGUCCAUCAUCUCAAUAUGCAGUAUUUUAAACAUGAGCUUACCUAAAAAGUGAUCUCUCCUACAUGCAACGAGGAAGUGAGGUGCAACUCUAUGUGGUCCCAUAGCAAUGAUGCCCCCCCCCAUCCUCCAUACUUCUCCUUCUCUAAAAACAAAACAAAAAAUAUUGGAUAGGUCCUUCAUAUUACCCUCUUUUGAGCAUAUUCCAUUUCCUUUACAGAGACAUCAAUAGUGUUGUCUCAUUGCUUCCUGUUUGUGUAUAUGAUCUUUUAACAAGGAGGGUAGACAUCCGUAUGUGCAUGAAAUUUGACUGGUACAAGUGUCCAUUCAGACUCAAUCAACAAGAAAUAUUCAAAUGUAUUUUAUAUUAUGUAUGUCACAUUAUUAUGUAUCUCUGACUGUUAAAAUUAGUAUAAUAGAUUAUUAGGGCAUUUUAGCAAUCACUUCGCGGACACUUUCCAUAACACAGAAAGUCUGUUGUCAAAAGCCCUCCAUAACAAAGCAGCCUUUGUCAGAAAUCAGUGAAUCAAAACAGCAAUUUCAUCCUGGUGGUGUGUCAUAAAGAUAAGAGUGACUUUAUGAAUGACUGGUGAUUCUUAUGCGCUUAACCAUUGCCAAUGAACAUUUCGGUAUAUACCAUUUACCACAAGAAAGGACCACCAGUCGUUCCCAAAGUCGCUCUUUGUUUAGCAAAUAGCUUUAUGAAACAGCCCAGGGACAAAUGACGUAUAUGUAAUUUUGUGACCUGUCCAAAUCUUGAGACGAUGUGCUGUCCCGGUCCACCAGCUCCCCACAAUGACCUCUAUUCUGUCCAUUGGGCAUUUUUCGUUGAUUCUGAACGUUGCAGAAAGCAACUGCGAAGUGGAUGCUAAAAUACGCUAUUGCUGGCGAGUGUGAACAAUGGCACAUUCUAACUUGUACCCUGCUCAUGUGUAUGUAGGCCAAUACCACAAUAUUACAGUGAUAUUACCAAUGUCAGUUUUUCAAAAUCCCAUGUAUUUCAUGUACAAUGUAUUCUUCAAAAAACUGCAAUGUUGUUGCAAUAUUUUGACCGAGGUUUACAUGAACAAGGGUCAGUUGGAAUGCUUCAAUACGCAGUUACUGCUCACCAUCGCUCAAAAGAAAUGACUAUAUAACAAUUUUUUGAAAAAUCUGUAACACGGUUCCCAGUCAUGGAAAAUCCUUGAAAAAAUUUUGUGGUCAUGGAAAGUCAGGGAAUUUGGAAAAUUUGUGAAUAGUCAUGGAAAAAUCAUGGAAUUGCAUUUACCUCUUGGCUAUGGCAGCUUUCCAGUUUGUUGUGUCUCGCAACUCUCAUACUCUGUAAUCAUACUCUGCUAUGAAAAUUGGUGUUCAUGAUAUCCAUUUUCCCUGUUUUGUGACAAAUUCCAAAUUCUACAGAACUCCUAGGAUGUCACGGGAAGUCAUGGAAAGCAGCAAUUUAGUCAUGGAAAAGUAAUGGAAUUCCGUUUUCAAAUUUCUAUGGGAACCCUAGGUGUAACCUUUGUCGCAUGGCGCAUAUGACCAGGGUACGAGUUUGCGUACUGCAAUGUAAUAGAUAAGUGGUAUUUUGUCUCCGUUCCUAUUCGCAAAAUAAAUGUUUACAAGGAAAAAAGUAAAAUACCUGCAAGUUCACUGAUCCUGUUCAUAUACGCUAUCAAAAUGACUACAUCCAUAAUAGCGUAUAUGAUUGGGAUACCACAAUGUGAGUGGCCAGUUGAGAAAUUAUCUAGCUGACUUGUCAUUGCGAAUAUGUCAGAGGGAGGUUGUCUUUUGGGAUAGGAAGUGUAAAAUAUCAUUGAAAAUAAAACUGAACUCUUUGAUUUGUUUUGUAAAGAAA
This 3635-nucleotide long non-coding RNA is filed under the name Lytechinus variegatus (green sea urchin). RNAcentral describes it as "uncharacterized LOC121411709". Lineage: Eukaryota; Metazoa; Echinodermata; Echinoidea; Temnopleuroida; Toxopneustidae. The record is from RNAcentral.